Non-coding RNA from Notechis scutatus (mainland tiger snake), 866 nucleotides. The record is from RefSeq and is a predicted model, not a curated record. Lineage: Eukaryota; Metazoa; Chordata; Lepidosauria; Squamata; Elapidae.
GUCACUCCUCAUCUUGCUUGCCGCGGCAUUGCAAACCUACCUUCGCCUGCCAUUGCUGCCUACCUUCUGCCGCAGCCCUGAUCUCCCUGGAUAUGUGAAAAGUCAACGCCACACCAUCCAAGUGGACUUCAUAGAUUAUAUGGAUGAACUGGCUUCUCUGAUUGGGGUCAAGCCCAGCAUAUGGUCCCGGUUUAUCACAGAUCCUAAGCUGGCCCAGGAGCUUUUCUUUGGGGCAUGUACUCCGUAUCAGUAUCGCUUGCAAGGGCCAGGAAAAUGGGAGGGAGCCAGGAAAGCUAUCCUGAUGCAGCAUGAACGGAUCUUGAAACCCUUGCAAACCAGGCUAGUUACUGAAUCAGACAACAAUGCCUUAGUGCCCCUUUGGUUUAAGUUAGUUGGCCUUCUUCUCCUGUUUGCUGCAAUUUGGGCUUAUUUUUGAAUCCACAGAAGUCCUAUUCUCCUAAUGCCAAUCCCAACCUACAUAGAUUUUGGCAUUACAAUUUCAUCUUUGUGCCUUUAAUAAUUUACCGAUUAAGUCUGCACAUAUAAACAGACUUUAUUUCUCUAAAAGUAGCAACAUUUUACUAUAUUAUGUGUAAGUUUCACCCAUAAAUGAUUGUUAAUAUUUCUUGUUAGGGGACAUUUUUGUGUUAUUCAUUUUAUUGAGUGUACUUUUAUUGGUGAAUGAUAAUAAAGCUCCGUCUGUUUCAUAUAUUUCUGUUAUCCUUCUAUUCAUGUAAGUCAGUUUUGCUAGAUGGGAAUGCAUUUUCUUAAAUGUAAAGCAAAGUAAUCUGCCUAAGUAUAACCCGUAUUACUUGGAACUUGCCUAGAAAUGUCACUUUCCCUGCAAUAAAAUAUUUGUAAACAGA